AGACGGGGGGGGCGAGCGUUGUUCGGAAUUACUGGGCGUAAAGGGCGCGCAGGCGGCCUGGGAAGUUUUGGGUGAAAGCCCCCGGCUCAACCGGGGAAUGGCCUGAGAAACCACUGGGCUGGAGUGCUGGAGGGGGAAGCGGAAUUCCCGGUGGAGCGGUGAAAUGCGUAGAUAUCGGGAGGAACACCAGAGGCGAAGGCGGCUUCCUGGACAGACACUGACGCUGAGGCGCGAAAGCUAGGGGAGCAAACAGGAUUAGAAACCCCAGUAGUCC
RNAcentral lists this ribosomal RNA (274 nucleotides) under uncultured bacterium. RNAcentral describes it as "partial 16S ribosomal RNA". It matches the Rfam family "Bacterial small subunit ribosomal RNA", at positions 523 to 796 of the family's 1533-position model. The record is from RNAcentral.